GGAAUUUUUGUCAAUGGGGGAAACCCUGAACAAGCAACGCCGCGUGAAGGACGAAGACCUUCGGGUUGUAAACUUCUGUCGGAGGGGACGAAGGCAUUCGCGGUUAAUACCCGCGGAUGUUGACGGUACCCUCCGAGGAAGCCCCGGCUAACUCCGUGCACGCAGCCGCGGUAAUACGGGGGGGGCAAGCGUCGUUCGGAAUUACUGGGCGUAAAGGUCGCGCAGGCGGACGGGAAAGUCCCUCGUGAAAGCCCACGGCUCAACCGUGGAAUUGCGGGGGAAACUGCUCGUCUUGAGUCCGGGAGAGGAGUGUGGAAUUCCCAGUGUAGCGGUGAAAUGCGUAGAUAUUGGGAGGAACACCGGUGGCGAAGGCGGCACUCUGGACCGGUACUGACGCUGAGGCGCGAAAGCUAGGGGAGCAAAC
This 424-nucleotide ribosomal RNA is filed under the name uncultured bacterium. RNAcentral's name for it is "bacterial SSU rRNA". It matches the Rfam family "Bacterial small subunit ribosomal RNA", at positions 358 to 773 of the family's 1533-position model. The record is from RNAcentral.